This 566-nucleotide ribosomal RNA is filed under the name Exobasidium woronichinii. Its description in RNAcentral is "LSU rRNA". It matches the Rfam family "Eukaryotic large subunit ribosomal RNA", at positions 87 to 642 of the family's 3401-position model. Lineage: Eukaryota; Fungi; Basidiomycota; Exobasidiomycetes; Exobasidiales; Exobasidiaceae. The record is from RNAcentral.
CGGCGAGUGAAGCGGGAUGAGCUCAAAUUUGAAAGCUGGCAGCAAUGUCCGCGUUGUAAUCUCGAGAGAUGUUUUCCGCGUUGGACCACGUACAAGUUCCUUGGAAUAGGAUGUCAUAGAGGGUGAAAAUCCCGUACUUGAUGUGGACGCCCAGUGCUUUGUGAUACGUCUUCGAAGAGUCGAGUUGUUUGGGAAUGCAGCUCAAAAUGGGUGGUAAAUUCCAUCUAAAGCUAAAUAUUGGGGAGAGACCGAUAGCGAACAAGUACCGUGAGGGAAAGAUGAAAAGCACUUUGGAAAGAGAGUUAAACAGUACGUGAAAUUGUCAAAAGGGAAGCAUUUGAAGUCAGACGUGUAUUGCAGUAUUCAGCCUUGCUUUUGCUUGGUGUAUUUGCUGUAUUACAGGCCAACAUCAGUUUUGAGUGCGGAUAAGGGUAGAGAGAAUGUGGCAUCCUCGGAUGUGUUAUAGCUCUUUACUGGAUACGUCGUUUAGGACUGAGGAACGCAGCGCGCCGCAAGGCAGACCCUCGGGUACUUUCGCGCCUAGGAUGUUGGCCGUAAUGGCUUUA